AUUGAACGCUGGCGGCAUGCCUUACACAUGCAAGUCGAACGGCAGCACGGGUGCUUGCACCUGGUGGCGAGUGGCGAACGGGUGGGUAGUACAUCGGAACGUACCUUAUCGUGGGGGAUAACGCAGCGAAAGUUGCGCUAAUACCGCAUACGCCCUGAGGGGGAAAGCGGGGGACCGUAAGGCCUCGCGCGAUUAGAGCGGCCGAUGUCUGACUAGCUUGUUGGUGAGGUAAAAGCUCACCAAGGCGAUGAUCAGUAGCUGGUCUGAGAGGACGAUCAGCCACACUGGGACUGAGACACGGCCCAGACUCCUACGGGAGGCAGCAGUGGGGAAUUUUGGACAAUGGGGGCAACCCUGAUCCAGCAAUGCCGCGUGAGUGAAGAAGGCCUUCGGGUUGUAAAGCUCUUUUGUCAGGGAAGAAACAGCAGCUCUAACACAGUCUGCGAAUGACGGUACCUGAAGAAUAAGCACCGGCUAACUACGUGCCAGCAGCCGCAGUAA
This 501-nucleotide ribosomal RNA is filed under the name uncultured bacterium. RNAcentral describes it as "partial 16S ribosomal RNA". It matches the Rfam family "Bacterial small subunit ribosomal RNA", at positions 30 to 523 of the family's 1533-position model. The record is from RNAcentral.